GUCUCUCUAACUUAAAGACAGCCACGUUUAGAGGAUCUCUGGCGGCCCUUCAAGCAGCUGAUUUCAGAAACUGGUGGCUAUGCUGGGUGACAUCGUGGAGAAGACCGCCUGUUGCUUUGUACAGUCCUUGUGAUCUUCGGUGUUCCAGGGAUCUUGACCAACACAGGCAAGUCUUCAUUCCAUGGUUUGGAUGGAAAGGCUUUCGUGUUCUCCAAGCUUUCUGCUAACUCCCACGUUCUCCUGAAGCCCAACCUAGAUCAAGGCUUGCGACAGUUGACCCUUUGUCUCCGCUUCUUCACCGACUUGACCCACGGCUUCUGCCUCUUCUCUGCUGCUUUC
Molecule: non-coding RNA, 339 nt
Organism: Notechis scutatus (mainland tiger snake)
Lineage: Eukaryota; Metazoa; Chordata; Lepidosauria; Squamata; Elapidae
Source: RefSeq, a predicted model, not a curated record